UACAGAGGUGGCAAGCGUUGUUCGGAAUUACUGGGCGUAAAGGGCGCGUAGGCGGUCUUCUAAGUCUUGUGUGAAAUCCCUCGGCUCAACUGAGGAACUGCACGGGAUACUGGAAGACUUGAGUUCGGGAGAGGGAAGCGGAAUUCCGGGUGUAGCGGUGAAAUGCGUAGAUAUCCGGAGGAACACCGGUGGCGAAGGCGGCUUCCUGGACCGAUCACUGACGCUGAGGCGCGAAAGCAUGGGGAGCGAACGGG
This 254-nucleotide ribosomal RNA is filed under the name uncultured bacterium. RNAcentral's name for it is "partial 16S ribosomal RNA". It matches the Rfam family "Bacterial small subunit ribosomal RNA", at positions 524 to 776 of the family's 1533-position model. The record is from RNAcentral.